Molecule: long non-coding RNA, 348 nt
Organism: Andrographis paniculata
Lineage: Eukaryota; Viridiplantae; Streptophyta; Magnoliopsida; Lamiales; Acanthaceae
Exons: 3
Source: RefSeq, a predicted model, not a curated record
CCCCCAAAUCGCCUCCCGAUCCACACACAACAAGAUCUUCUCUACACUUCACUCCGAUCUACCGUCGCUGGUUUGACGCUCGUGUUCUCUGAGUUAUGGCCAGCGUAAAUCUUCCUCGCCGCAUUAUAGUUCUCACGAAAUGGAACGAAUUAAGUUAUUGAACAACAAGGUGCAGCAGAGGUGGACUUAUAACUGUUUGAAGAUCGUAUAUUAGGUGAUACCCUAGCCAUUGUUAAGAUGUAUGUUACAGUUGUAAUGGUCCCGGAGACCGCACCUAUCCUCCCAACUAAUACUGGAGCGAAAAUUCUCGGUGAUGUACUCGACGGAGAUAAUAUCGAAUAGAUUUAC